GACGAACGCUGGCGGCGUGCCUAAUACAUGCAAGUCGAGCGAAGUCUUUCUGGUGCUUGCCCUAGAAAAACUUAGCGGCGAACGGGUGAGUAACACGUAAAGAACCUGCCUCAUAGACUGGGACAACUAUUGGAAACGAUAGCUUAUAACGGAUAACAGUAUUUCUCGCAUGAGAGAUAUUUAAAAGUUGGUUAUGCUAACACUAUGAGAUGGCUUUGCGGUGCAUUAGCUAGUUGGUGGGGUAAAGGCCCACCAAGGCGACGAUGCAUAGCCGACCUGAGAGGGUGAUCGGCCACACUGGGACUGAGACACGGCCCAGACUCCUACGGGAGGCAGCAGUAGGGAAUCUUCCGCAAUGGGCGAAAGCCUGACGGAGCAACGCCGCGUGAGUGAAGAAGGAUUUCGGUUCGUAAAGCUCUGUUGUUAGGGAAGAAUGGAUAUGUAGUAACUAUACAUGUAAGAGACGGUACCUAACCAGAAAGCCACGGCUAACUACGUG
Molecule: ribosomal RNA, 499 nt
Filed under: uncultured bacterium
Lineage: Bacteria
Description: partial 16S ribosomal RNA
Rfam family: Bacterial small subunit ribosomal RNA
Source: RNAcentral